This 497-nucleotide ribosomal RNA is filed under the name uncultured bacterium. RNAcentral describes it as "partial 16S ribosomal RNA". It matches the Rfam family "Bacterial small subunit ribosomal RNA", at positions 28 to 507 of the family's 1533-position model. The record is from RNAcentral.
GACGAACGCUGGCGGCGUGCCUAAUACAUGCAAGUAGAACGCUGAAGAGAGGAGCUUGCUCUUCUUGGAUGAGUUGCGAACGGGUGAGUAACGCGUAGGUAACCUGCCUUGUAGCGGGGGAUAACUAUUGGAAACGAUAGCUAAUACCGCAUAACAAUGGAUGACCCAUGUCAUUUAUUUGAAAGGGGCAAAUGCUCCACUACAAGAUGGACCUGCGUUGUAUUAGCUAGUAGGUGAGGUAACGGCUCACCUAGGCGACGAUACAUAGCCGACCUGAGAGGGGGAUCGGCCACACUGGGACUGAGACACGGCCCAGACUCCUACGGGAGGCAGCAGUAGGGAAUCUUCGGCAAUGGGGGCAACCCUGACCGAGCAACGCCGCGUGAGUGAAGAAGGGUUUCGGAUCGUAAAGCUCGGUUGUAAGUCAAGAACGAGUGUGAGAGUGGAAAGUUCACACUGUGACGGUAGCUUACCAGAAAGGGACGGCUAACUACGUG